AGCUGCAAUAGAGCGUAUAUUAAAGUUGUUGCAGUUAAAAAGCUUGUAGUUGAAUUUCGGGAUCAAUAUUUCGGUCAUGCCGUUGGUAUGCACUGUUAUCAUUGAUUUCUCACCUUCUAAAGAACCGUAAUGCCAUUAAUUUGGUGUUACGGGGAAUUAGGACUGUUA
This 168-nucleotide ribosomal RNA is filed under the name uncultured Glomus. RNAcentral's name for it is "partial 18S ribosomal RNA". Lineage: Eukaryota; Fungi; Glomeromycota; Glomeromycetes; Glomerales; Glomeraceae. The record is from RNAcentral.